This 764-nucleotide long non-coding RNA is filed under the name Bos taurus (domestic cattle). RNAcentral's name for it is "long non-coding RNA NONBTAT007225". The record is from RNAcentral. Lineage: Eukaryota; Metazoa; Chordata; Mammalia; Artiodactyla; Bovidae.
GGAUUGAUCCUUUUCCAUCAAUAACAUUGUUAAUAUUAAGUUGAUCUGGCAAUAUCUGGCAAUUUACUACUAUAGAAAAGGUGGAAUAUUGAAGGGAAUCUCUAUGGUGCCAGGAGAGUGAACCUGAGCUGAGUGAUUGACUAUUUUACCUUGACCAUAUUCUGAUUCACAAAAUAAAUUUUAUGCCAUCCUUUACUAAAAAUUACAAUAUACAAACUACUACCUAUAUUUUGCCCUUGUAAUAUCUCAACAAAAAAAGAAAUGGCAAUACUGAAAAUGGUGCCAAGUUACAACCAGUGAUAACAGAAUGAACUGAAGAUAAUUCCAAAACUGCCUUGACCAUGGAUGGUGUUUGAAUAAGUUUGUUAUCAGGAGGUGACAAAACUCAUUGAAUUACAUUUUUUGCAUGCUUGUAAAAAAACUAUAUAUAUAUGUAUACUUGUAACUGAUACUAAGCUGUGUUCUUUCAGAUAUGUUUACUUGUUUUUCUCCCAAAGAGAGCCAUAUUGUGUCACCAUUUAAACUGAUUUUCCAAAGUUGAAAUAGAAUCUCAGGAUUGAACAGACAUUUGCAAGGGUGUUUAAUCCAACCAGUCAUGUUUCCUUUGAAUCCAGGAGUGGCUAAAUACUACAGCUACUGAGAAACUGCAUCUGAAAGAAGAUUCUGUGUUAAUCGCCUCUCCAGCUGCAUUAAUAAUUUAAGGAACGUAUUAUAUUUUAUUAUCCUUUAGACCAAUCUCUAUUGAUAGAAAAACACGCUGGCAA